RNAcentral lists this ribosomal RNA (530 nucleotides) under Clostridioides difficile. RNAcentral describes it as "bacterial LSU rRNA". It matches the Rfam family "Bacterial large subunit ribosomal RNA", at positions 1769 to 2297 of the family's 2925-position model. The record is from RNAcentral. Lineage: Bacteria; Bacillati; Bacillota; Clostridia; Peptostreptococcales; Peptostreptococcaceae.
UCAGGUGGCCGCAGAGAAUAGGCCCAAGCGACUGUUUACCAAAAACAUAGGUUUCUGCUAAGUCGCAAGACGAUGUAUAGGAGCUGACGCCUGCCCGGUGCUGGAAGGUUAAGGGGAUCUGUUAGAGCAAUCGAAGCAGUGAACUUAAGCCCCAGUAAACGGCGGCCGUAACUAUAACGGUCCUAAGGUAGCGAAAUUCCUUGUCGGGUAAGGUCCGACCCGCACGAAAGGCGUAACGAUUUGGGCACUGUCUCAACAACCGACUCGGUGAAAUUGUAAUUCCGGUGAAGAUGCCGGAUACCUGCGACAGGACGGAAAGACCCCAUGGAGCUUUACUGUAGCUUGACAUUGGGUCUUGGUACUACAUGUACAGGAUAGGUGGGAGGCUUUGAAACCAGGACGCCAGUUUUGGCGGAGCCAUCCUUGGGAUACCACCCUUGUAGUACUGGGACUCUAACCAUAGGCCAUGAAUCUGGUCUUGGGACACUGUCAGGUGGGCAGUUUGACUGGGGCGGUCGCCUCCCAAAAGG